RNAcentral lists this ribosomal RNA (253 nucleotides) under Condylostoma magnum. RNAcentral describes it as "partial Eukaryotic large subunit ribosomal RNA". It matches the Rfam family "Eukaryotic large subunit ribosomal RNA", at positions 2397 to 2638 of the family's 3401-position model. The record is from RNAcentral. Lineage: Eukaryota; Ciliophora; Heterotrichea; Heterotrichida; Condylostomatidae.
GCGGGGAAAGAAGACCCUGUUGAGCUUGACUCUAGUCCGACCUUCGUGAAAUGAACUGAUUGGUGUAGUAGAGGUGGGAGCUUCGGCACAAAUGAAAUACCACUACUUUCGGUAACAUUUGCCUUCUUUUUAUUACUUAUUCCGUUGUACUAAGUCCACUCCUUGAGUGGUUCUAGCUCUAAGCGCUGGCCUCGGCUAGCGCGAGUAGCGCGGAAGACAUGGUCAGGUGGGGAGUUUGGCUGGGGCGGCACAU